GCCCAGUUCUCUGGACUCUCUGGAGCCCCAGCUCAGGGGCAAGGGCCACGCACAGGUGGGAGGAGGUAGGGGACCCCACUGUGCUCCAUAAAAUGGCCCAUGCAAAUGCCACAUCCUCCCACCAGCCGGGGGCAGGAGGCUCUUGGUGGGGAAGUAAGGAUCAGGCCCAGAGAACUGGAAGGAAGAGCAUUCUCCCCUCCAAGGAGGUGACCGGAGCCCCAGUGGGAGAGCUGACUGCAUCCCCUCCUCAGGAGAGCAUUCCUGCUUUGCAGAGAUGGACACUAAAGCACGGAGGCUGUGACCCGGCCAGGGUCCCGGGGGGAGGAGGGCAGGGAGGGGCAGGAGCUGGGAUCUCAGGCAGCCAUCAAGGUGGGUGGGCCCACAAGAACCCAGACUUGAGAAAACUGGGGUGUCUCUCCAGGAAGUCAGCGUGGGGCUGUGCUUCCAAGGGCCGUCUGCCCCUCCCCAGCCUCUGGGGCCCCCUCCUCAGCAUGGGCCGUGCCUGCCUCCAGCCCUGGAGCAGGGAGUCCUCGCCCAGCCCAGGGCUGUGCUGUCUCUGUGGGCAGAGGGUUCCUGGCGUUAAACAGGGUGGGCACAUGCUGCACUUGGCCCGUGGGUCAGGGCGGAGGACAGGGUUCUGGGCUGUGGGAAAGGCGGUGCCCAGAUUCUCAAUGACCGAGGCAGAGGUGGGAAGGGCCCUGGGGGCCCAGCCGCCCUGAACGUGAGUGGGUCUUGCCCCAAAGCCCCAGAGGCCGCCUGUCUGCCUCUCCCAGGGAAGGAUGAGAAAUGCCCUCCAGACCUGCAGAGAAAGGGAGGCACGUUCCCCACCCCCCGCCAGGUGCACUGACCACACUGAAGGUCACCCGAAGGUCACAGCGUGAUGAGGGCGUCUCCAGAAGAGGCCCAGCUGCUGCCACCUCCCAGGGAAGCCCAGCCGUCCCUUCACCCCUGCAGUUCUCGGGGGGCUCAGCUGCUGGGCAUCAAGUUUGCAAAGAGCAGGUGGUCUGCCCCCCCAACCUCGCUAUUUGUGGCACUUACAUCCCGGCCGCCGCCUCCCUCUCCCGGGAUCAGCUGCGCCCUGGAGAACUGGGGGGCCCGCGCGCAAACCCAGUGACCUUCAAGGCCCGGAGCCGCCUCCUCGCCCCGCAGGACGCCGCGCCCGCCCCGCCCCGCCGGGAGCCCCCCGCCUUACGCGUCCUCCGGCCUCCCCGGGGCUGCGCGCUCCUCCGCGGGAUGACGGCGGCUGCGAACGCGGAGGAGAGCUCGGGAGUUUCCCACAAUGCACUACUCCCG
Molecule: long non-coding RNA, 1293 nt
Filed under: Pan troglodytes (chimpanzee)
Lineage: Eukaryota; Metazoa; Chordata; Mammalia; Primates; Hominidae
Description: long non-coding RNA NONPTRT002477
Source: RNAcentral